This 98-nucleotide small nuclear RNA is filed under the name Sus scrofa (pig). The record is from RNAcentral. Lineage: Eukaryota; Metazoa; Chordata; Mammalia; Artiodactyla; Suidae.
AAAAAAUUUUUUUAAAUAAAAUUGGAAUGAUACAAAGAAGAUUAGAAUGGCCCCUGCGCAAGGAUGACAUACAAAUUCAGGAACCAUUCCAUAUUUUU